Molecule: ribosomal RNA, 255 nt
Filed under: uncultured bacterium
Lineage: Bacteria
Description: partial 16S ribosomal RNA
Rfam family: Bacterial small subunit ribosomal RNA
Source: RNAcentral
UACGUAGGGUGCAAGCGUUGUCCGGAAUUAUUGGGCGUAAAGAGCUCGUAGGCGGUUUGUCGCGUCUGCUGUGAAAACCCGAGGCUCAACCUCGGGCCUGCAGUGGGUACGGGCAGACUAGAGUGCGGUAGGGGAGAUUGGAAUUCCUGGUGUAGCGGUGGAAUGCGCAGAUAUCAGGAGGAACACCGAUGGCGGAAGGCAGAUCUCUGGGCCGUAACUGACGCUGAGGAGCGAAAGCGUGGGGGAGCGAACAGG